RNA transcript from Arabidopsis thaliana (thale cress), 1084 nucleotides. RefSeq lists it as uncharacterized. The record is from RefSeq. Lineage: Eukaryota; Viridiplantae; Streptophyta; Magnoliopsida; Brassicales; Brassicaceae. The transcript has a single exon.
CUUUUCCUCUCUCUUCUCUCAUCUCUAUCCUUUAGAGAGAGGAAACGAUCGAAGCUUCUUAAUCUGAUAACGAUUGCUACUUCAGCAUCUGUUGAUCGUUCACGAUGGCUUCUGAACAGAAUCCUAUGGCUUUCUCAGCAUAGAUGUCUGGCUCUUGUCCGUUAACGUUUGUCUUUUCGACAACGUUUGAUCGGCUCUCUUCUGACACCAUCUUGUUUCUCUUUUACGGUGGUGGUUGGCUUGUGUCUGGCUUCCGUUGGCUUCUACAGUAGCGGUGGGCUAGCUAAGUUCUAGAAAUUCACCAUAUAGCUCUGGUGUUUCUUUUAGCUUUUGGCCAGAUUGUUUUUGGUUCAAAAUUAUGCUUUCUUUGUCUCGAUUUCCUUAUUUUCGGUCUGAUUAGACUCUUUUGCAAUUCUAUUUGAGUACUGGAAUCGUAAUUCCUUGAAUCCCAGGCGUUUAAAGAGCUCGAUUUGUGUUCCAAGUUUAUCAAUUUCAAUUUUUAAGAACAAAUUGGAGUUAGGGGUUAAGGUUUUUUUUUUGUGACUUUGGAUUGAAUUUAUGCAAUUGUGGCUAUUUCUUUAACCGAUCUAUGGAAUCGAGUUUGUUUCUCUUCGUUUAUAGGUGUUGCUGAAAGCUCCAUCGAUUUAAAUGUUUCACCGAUGUUCUUCGGAGAUUUGGAAUCAAUUGCUUUGGGAAGAUAUUUUCUUUGCAGUUUUGAUGUUGAAGUUUAGUGAGCUUCUCCAAUUAAAAACCGAUAGACUUCUGUGUUUGAAGUUCUAAUGGUUUCCGGUGGUUUUGGAGUUUCCGUUUGUUGCUUACCAUACGAUGAACGGCGACAACAUAAACUUCAUCUCUCAACGUGUUAAACUUUAGUUCAUAGCAUCACAUGUGGCUCUGUGUUGGAAGUUUUAAUGUUUACUUCCUCAAAAGGUUUAGUUUCUAGAUUGAGCUUUCAUAAUAUUAGGCCUUUAAGUUGAAUUUGUUGGUUACAGUUUAAUGUGUGCAGGGCCUGUAAGUGGAAGGUUACACUGUUGUAUUUCUUACGACUUAAGAUAUAAAUAAAGAGCAACACUUAUGAGGAAAA